CGUAGGGUGCGAGCGUUAAUCGGAAUUACUGGGCGUAAAGCGUGCGCAGGCGGUUUUGUAAGACAGAUGUGAAAUCCCCGGGCUCAACCUGGGACCUGCAUUUGUGACUGCAAGGCUAGAGUACGGUAGAGGGGGAUGGAAUUCCGCGUGUAGCAGUGAAAUGCGUAGAUAUGCGGAGGAACACCGAUGGUGAAGGCAAUCCCCUGGACCUGUACUGACGCUCAUGCACGAAAGCGUGGGGAGCAAACAGGAUUAGAUACCCUGGUAGUCCACGCCCUAAACGAUGUCAACUGGUUGUUGGGUCUUUACUGACUCAGUAACGAAGCUAACGCGUGAAGUUGACCGCCUGGGGAGUACGGCCGCAAGGUUG
Molecule: ribosomal RNA, 370 nt
Filed under: uncultured organism
Description: bacterial SSU rRNA
Rfam family: Bacterial small subunit ribosomal RNA
Source: RNAcentral